CACGUAGGGCGCAAGCGUUGUCCGGAAUUAUUGGGCGUAAAGAGCUCGUAGGCGGACUGUCACGUCCGCUGUGAAAACCUGGGGCUCAACCCCGGGCCUGCAGCCGAUACGGGCAAGCUAGAGUUCGGUAGGGGAGACUGGAAUUCCUGGUGUAGCGGUGAAAUGCGCAGAUAUCAGGAGGAACACCGGCGGCGAAGGCGGGUCUCUGGGCCGAAACUGACGCUGAGGAGCGAAAGCGUGGGGAGCGAACAGG
RNAcentral lists this ribosomal RNA (253 nucleotides) under uncultured bacterium. RNAcentral's name for it is "partial 16S ribosomal RNA". It matches the Rfam family "Bacterial small subunit ribosomal RNA", at positions 524 to 776 of the family's 1533-position model. The record is from RNAcentral.